RNAcentral lists this ribosomal RNA (404 nucleotides) under Actinomycetes bacterium. Its description in RNAcentral is "Actinobacteria bacterium partial 16S ribosomal RNA". It matches the Rfam family "Bacterial small subunit ribosomal RNA", at positions 355 to 776 of the family's 1533-position model. The record is from RNAcentral. Lineage: Bacteria; Bacillati; Actinomycetota; Actinomycetes.
UGGGGAAUAUUGUACAAUGGGCGCAAGCCUGAUCCAGCCAUGCCGCGUGAGUGAUGAAGGCCCUAGGGUUGUAAAGCUCUUUCACCGGUGAAGAUAAUGACGGUAACCGGAGAAGAAGCCCCGGCUAACUUCGUGCCAGCAGCCGCGGUAAUACGAAGGGGGCUAGCGUUGUUCGGAUUUACUGGGCGUAAAGCGCACGUAGGCGGACUUUUAAGUCAGGGGUGAAAUCCCGGGGCUCAACCCCGGAACUGCCUUUGAUACUGGAAGUCUUGAGUAUGGUAGAGGUGAGUGGAAUUCCGAGUGUAGAGGUGAAAUUCGUAGAUAUUCGGAGGAACACCAGUGGCGAAGGCGGCUCACUGGACCAUUACUGACGCUGAGGUGCGAAAGCGUGGGGAGCAAACAGG